This 1820-nucleotide ribosomal RNA is filed under the name Drosophila willistoni. RNAcentral describes it as "eukaryotic LSU rRNA". It matches the Rfam family "Eukaryotic large subunit ribosomal RNA", at positions 1061 to 2566 of the family's 3401-position model. The record is from RNAcentral. Lineage: Eukaryota; Metazoa; Arthropoda; Insecta; Diptera; Drosophilidae.
AACUUUAAAUGGGUAAGAACCUAACUUUCUUGAUAUGAAGUUUAAGGUUAUGAUAUAUUGUGCCCAGUGGGCCACUUUUGGUAAGCAGAACUGGCGCUGUGGGAUGAACCAAACGUAAUGUUACGGUGCCCAAAUUAACAACUCAUACAGAAACCAUGAAAGGCGUUGGUUGCUUAAAACAGCAGGACGGUGAUCAUGGAAGUCGAAAUCCGCUAAGGAGUGUGUAACAACUCACCUGCCGAAGCAACUAGCCCUUAAAAUGGAUGGCGCUUAAGUUGUAUACCUAUACAUUACCGCUAAAGUAGAUGAUUUAUAUUAUUUAUAAUAUAAAUUUUGAAACUUUAGUGAGUAGGAAGGUACAAUGGUGUGCUUAGAAGUGUUUGGCGUAAGCCUGCAUGGAGCCGCCAUUGGUACAGAUCUUGGUGGUAGUAGCAAAUAAUCGAAUGAGACCUUGGAGGACUGAAGUGGAGAAGGGUUUCGUGUGAACAGUGGUUGAUCACGAGUUAGUCGGUCCUAAGUUCAAGGCGAAAGCCGAAAAUUUUCAAGUUUUAAAAAUGUCAAAUGAAAUAAUAAAUAAUAAAACACUUGAAUAAUUUUGAACGAAAGGGAAUACGGUUCCAAUUCCGUAACCUGUUGAGUAUCCGUUUGUUUUUAAAUAUGGGCCUCGUGCUCAUCCUGGCAACAGGAACGACCAUAAAGAAGCCGUCGAGAGGUAUCGGAAGAGUUUUCUUUUCUGUUUUAUAGCCGUACUACCAUGGAAGUCUUUCGCAGAGAGAUAUGGUAGAUGGGCUAGAAGAGCAUGACAUAUACUGUUGUGUCGAUAUUUUCUCCUCGGACCUUGAAAAUUUAUGGUGGGGAUACGCAAACUUCUCAACAGGCCGUACCAAUAUCCGCAGCUGGUCUCCAAGGUGAAGAGUCUCUAGUCGAUAGAAUAAUGUAGGUAAGGGAAGUCGGCAAAUUAGAUCCGUAACUUCGGGAAGAUUGAGAUAGUCGGGCUUGAUUGGGAAACAAUAACAUGGUUUAUGUGCUCGUUCUGGGUAAAUAGAGUUUCUAUCAUUUAUGAUAGUUAUUUGUUCCCCGGAUAGUUAGUUACGUAGCCAAUUGUGGAACUUUCUUGCUAAAAUUUUUAAGAAUACUAAUUUUUAAUUAGUUCUUUUAAAUUAUAACGAUUAUCAAUUAACAAUCAAUUCAGAACUGGCACGGACUUGGGGAAUCCGACUGUCUAAUUAAAACAAAGCAUUGUGAUGGCCCUAGCGGGUGUUGACACAAUGUGAUUUCUGCCCAGUGCUCUGAAUGUCAAAGUGAAGAAAUUCAAGUAAGCGCGGGUCAACGGCGGGAGUAACUAUGACUCUCUUAAGGAGGUGGUUUUAGUACGUAGGCGCUGUGGGACUUCAUUGUCCCGAUGAUGCAGCGAAUCGUGCAUACGAGAUUGUCCAGUAGUUGGUUGCUCGUAUCUUUAGGAGAUUUCCUUCCUCGGCGAUCAAAAAAAAAAAAAAAAAAAAAAAAAAUAGCCAAAUGCCUCGUCAUCUAAUUAGUGACGCGCAUGAAUGGAUUAACGAGAUUCCUACUGUCCCUAUCUACUAUCUAGCGAAACCACAGCCAAGGGAACGGGCUUGGAAUAAUUAGCGGGGAAAGAAGACCCUUUUGAGCUUGACUCUAAUCUGGCAGUGUAAGGAGACAUAAGAGGUGUAGAAUAAGUGGGAGAUAUUAUUCCUUGUGUUUGAUAUCGCCAAUGAAAUACCACUACUCUUAUUGUUUCCUUACUUACUUGAUUAAAUGGAACGUGUAUCAUUUCCUAGCCAUUAUACGGAUAUAUUAUA